RNAcentral lists this ribosomal RNA (328 nucleotides) under Anaplasma phagocytophilum. RNAcentral's name for it is "bacterial SSU rRNA". It matches the Rfam family "Bacterial small subunit ribosomal RNA", at positions 113 to 458 of the family's 1533-position model. Lineage: Bacteria; Pseudomonadati; Pseudomonadota; Alphaproteobacteria; Rickettsiales; Anaplasmataceae. The record is from RNAcentral.
AUGCAUAGGAAUCUACCUAGUAGUAUAGGAUAGCCACUAGAAAUGGUGGGUAAUACUGUAUAAUCCCUGCGGGGGAAAGAUUUAUCGCUACAUGAUGAGCCUAUGUUAGAUUAGCUAGUUGGUAGGGUAAAGGCCUACCAAGGCGAUGAUCUAUAGCUGGUCUGAGAGGAUGAUCAGCCACACUGGAACUGAGAUACGGUCCAGACUCCUACGGGAGGCAGCAGUGGGGAAUAUUGGACAAUGGGCGCAAGCCUGAUCCAGCUAUGCCGCGUGAGUGAGGAAGGCCUUAGGGUUGUAAAACUCUUUCAGUAGGGAAGAUAAUGACGGU